This 269-nucleotide long non-coding RNA is filed under the name Solanum tuberosum (potato). RNAcentral describes it as "long non-coding RNA (STUB_LNC002256)". The record is from RNAcentral. Lineage: Eukaryota; Viridiplantae; Streptophyta; Magnoliopsida; Solanales; Solanaceae.
CAACCAUCACCAUUCAUUUAACUUAUUAAAAAUGUUAUAAAUUUUUUUGCUAUAAUUCUAAUUUCUCUUCGUUUUCAAUUUCAAAAUAAUUUAUCGAUGUCGAUUAUUCUUGUUUUGAGUAACACGGCAAGAAAAAGAAAGAGGAAAGGAUUUGGUGGGUGUAUUCAGGAAGGAGUGGGGGAGAUUAUUUUUUUUUUUGUUAUCGCCGGAGAAAUCGAUGGUGGAUGGCAAUGGCGGAGUGACAGAGAAGAAGACGAAGGAGAAAGGGC